CCCUUAGAUGUUCUGGGCUGCACACGUGCUACACUGGCAGGUUCAGCGAGCUUCAUGCCCUGAUCUGAAAGGAAUGGGAAAUCUUUUCAAAACCUGCCGUGCUUGGGAUAGAUGUUUGCAAUUAUUCAUCUUCAACGAGGAUUGCCUUGUAAGCGCACGUCACCAGCGUGCAUUGAAUACGACCCUGUAUUCUGUACACACCGCCCGUCGCUCCUACCGAUUGAAGUUUUCGGUGAGUUGACAGGAGGAUUUUUUUGAAACUGGUUCGCCAGUGGAUUUUAGAUCCAAAUGCCAGCGAAUCGAUGGCUUUAGAGGAAGGAGAAGUCGUAACA
Molecule: ribosomal RNA, 332 nt
Filed under: uncultured eukaryote
Lineage: Eukaryota
Description: partial 18S ribosomal RNA
Rfam family: Eukaryotic small subunit ribosomal RNA
Source: RNAcentral